GUCAAAAAGUCGGUAACCUUGAAAGAAAAAAAGGAUCUUUGGAACGAAGCGAUUGUUUAUUACCAAAUAGAUGACAUUUUUAAUGGAACGCAACGUAGAUUAAUAAAACAAGGUAUACGUAUGUGGGAAGAGUCAAGUUGCAUUCAAUUUGUCCAAAGAAAUUCUAUUAUUCAUCGAGAUUAUGUCGCCAUCACUAAAUUGGAUUGCGGGUGUUGUUACAAGGAGAAUUAUCAAGGUCGCAGAAAUAAAGGUCGCAGUGAAUUGAGCUAAGCUGAUGGAUGUGAAGAAAUAGAGAUUAUUCUUCAUGAAUUGGGGCACGUUUUGGGCUUUUACCAUGAGCACCAACAUCCAGACCGCGACCAGUGGGUUCAAAUCAACGAGAGGAAUAUUGAUCAAGGUUAUGAACCAGAAUUAUGGCGGCUCGCGAGCGCAUGUCGAUACUUUAGGACUGCCUUACGAUUAUCAAUCUGUGAUGCAUUAUCCAGGCGA
Cotesia glomerata is the source of this 489-nucleotide long non-coding RNA. RefSeq lists it as uncharacterized. Lineage: Eukaryota; Metazoa; Arthropoda; Insecta; Hymenoptera; Braconidae. The transcript is spliced from 3 exons. The record is from RefSeq and is a predicted model, not a curated record.